RNAcentral lists this ribosomal RNA (398 nucleotides) under uncultured bacterium. Its description in RNAcentral is "bacterial SSU rRNA". It matches the Rfam family "Bacterial small subunit ribosomal RNA", at positions 30 to 430 of the family's 1533-position model. The record is from RNAcentral.
AUUGAACGAUGGCGGCAUGCCUUACACAUGCAAGCCGAACGGCAGCACGGGAGCAAUCCUGGUGGCGAGUGGCGAACGGGUGAGUAAUGUAUCGGAACGUACCUUUCAGUGGGGGAUAACGUAGCGAAAGUUACGCUAAUACCGCAUAUUCUGUGAGCAGGAAAGCAGGGGAUCGCAAGACCUUGCGCUGAUUGAGCGGCCGAUAUCAGAUUAGCUAGUUGGUGAGGUAAAGGCUCACCAAGGCGACGAUCUGUAGCGGGUCUGAGAGGAUGAUCCGCCACACUGGAACUGAGACACGGUCCAGACUCCUACGGGAGGCAGCAGUGGGGAAUUUUGGACAAUGGGCGCAAGCCUGAUCCAGCCAUGCCGCGUGAGUGAAGAAGGCCUCGGUUGUAAGA